Felis catus (domestic cat) is the source of this 85-nucleotide non-coding RNA. The record is from Rfam. NCBI's taxonomy places the organism in Eukaryota, Metazoa, Chordata, Mammalia, Carnivora, Felidae.
GCCUGUGUGGCUCAGUUGGUUGAGUGGCUGACUUUGACUCAGGUCAUGAUCUCACAGUUCGUGGGUUUGAGCCCUGCGUCGGGCU